This 280-nucleotide long non-coding RNA is filed under the name Homo sapiens (human). RNAcentral describes it as "HSALNT0279473". The record is from RNAcentral. Lineage: Eukaryota; Metazoa; Chordata; Mammalia; Primates; Hominidae.
CCGGGACCUGAGCCAGGAGGAGCCAGCACCGGGAGGCAGAGAGAGGCCUGGUGGUGCCUAGCACCUGUGUAGUGAUGGGCUAGGGCUUCCUGGUUGGGGAAGGGAAGAAGGCAUCUCUGGAGGUGGGGACAGGCACAUGCACGCUGAUUUCCGGUUGGAGCUGGGCUUGCCAUGAGGACAGUGGGCAGUUGAGGGAGCGUGUUAGGUGGAGAGGGUAUGCUCCUACCUGUGAUUUAGAAAACACACUGCAUUGUCAGGCAUGGCUGGGAAGAGUCAGGGC